AGAAUGAGCGCUAGCGAUAUGCUUAACACAUGCAAGUUGAACGUUGUUUUCGAAUCAGAAUGAGAACAAAGUAGCGAACGGGUGCGUAACACGUGGGAAUCUGCCGAACAGUUUGGGCCAAAUCCCGAAUGAAUAAAAGCUAAAAAGCGCUGUUUGAUGAGCCCACGUAGUAUUAGGUAGUUGGUUAGGUAAAAGCUGACCAAGCCUACGAUGCUUAGCUGGUCUUUUCGGAUGAUCAGCCACACUGGGACUGAGACACGGCCCAGACUCCUACGGGAGGCAGCAGUGGGGAAUCUUGGACAAUGGGCGAAAGCCUGAUCCGGCAAUAUGGCGUGAGUGAAGAAGGGCAACGCAGCUUGUAAAGCUCUUUCAUUGAGUGUGCGAUUGUGACAAGACUCGAAUAAGAACGCCCCGGCUAACUCCGCGCCAGCAGCCGC
This 437-nucleotide ribosomal RNA is filed under the name uncultured bacterium. RNAcentral's name for it is "SSU rRNA". It matches the Rfam family "Bacterial small subunit ribosomal RNA", at positions 26 to 518 of the family's 1533-position model. The record is from RNAcentral.